UGGGGAAUAUUGCACAAUGGGGGAAACCCUGAUGCAGCAACGCCGCGUGAAGGAUGAAGGUUUUCGGAUCGUAAACUUCUAUCAACAGGGACGAAACAAAUGACGGUACCUGAAUAAGAAGCCCCGGCUAACUACGUGCCAGCAGCCGCGGUAAUACGUAGGGGGCAAGCGUUAUCCGGAAUUACUGGGUGUAAAGGGAGCGUAGGCGGCACGUCAAGCCAGAUGUGAAAGCCCGGGGCUUAACCCCGUGGAUUGCAUUUGGAACUGGCGAGCUAGAGUACAGGAGAGGAAAGCGGAAUUCCUAGUGUAGCGGUGAAAUGCGUAGAUAUUAGGAAGAACACCAGUGGCGAAGGCGGCUUCUGGACUGAAACUGACGCUGAGGCUCGAAAGCGUGGGGAGCAAACAGGAUUAGAUACC
RNAcentral lists this ribosomal RNA (417 nucleotides) under uncultured bacterium. RNAcentral describes it as "bacterial SSU rRNA". It matches the Rfam family "Bacterial small subunit ribosomal RNA", at positions 355 to 786 of the family's 1533-position model. The record is from RNAcentral.